GUGUAGUGUUCAGAACAUAAUAUUUUUUUCCGUAUUCAUUGCGGUCGGAUAAUUGAAAAGACAAAGACAAUAAUAAAAUAUUCUGGUUCUGCCGAGUUCGGAAUAAUAUACACGUACAGCAUUCGAAGAUGACCGACGAACAUCUGUCGCUAUAGUGUAAUAUACGUAUUUUGUUGUUUCGGCCGAACUGGAUCAAUUUAUUGUUCGGAGUCAUUUCACGUGGCCGAAAGAUGGGAAUAUAAUAUGUUACAUACUAUUGACUAAGUUAUUAUUAUUUGUAUAGUUAUCUCAGAACAGAGUUCACAUGGUUUUAUAAAAAUUACGAGCAACAUCUUUUGUACAUAUUUUUAAUUCGAUAUUUCGAUGUUUAUGUAUACUUAAUAACACAGAAACUAUAUAA
This is a long non-coding RNA of Aphis gossypii (cotton aphid), 400 nucleotides long. RefSeq lists it as uncharacterized. Lineage: Eukaryota; Metazoa; Arthropoda; Insecta; Hemiptera; Aphididae. The transcript has 2 exons. The record is from RefSeq and is a predicted model, not a curated record.